This 951-nucleotide ribosomal RNA is filed under the name Ganoderma boninense. RNAcentral describes it as "partial large subunit ribosomal RNA". It matches the Rfam family "Eukaryotic large subunit ribosomal RNA", at positions 1 to 957 of the family's 3401-position model. Lineage: Eukaryota; Fungi; Basidiomycota; Agaricomycetes; Polyporales; Polyporaceae. The record is from RNAcentral.
CUAGCAUAUCCAAUAUACGGCGGGGGGAAAAAGAAAUUUUUCAUCACGGGUGUUUCGAUAGUAUCUGUGAAGCGAGCGGGAGAAGCUCACAUUGAAUAAUCUGACAGUCUGCGAGCUGAUGCGACAUGUAGUCUGGAGAAGUGUUUGGCGCGCUGGACCGAGGUAUAAGUCUAUUGGAACAGAGUGUCAUAGAGGGUGAGAAUAUGCGUCCUUGGACCCGGACGUCCAAUACUUUGUGAUGCGCUCUCGAAGAGUCGAGCAGUUUGGGAAUGCAGCUCUUAAUGGAUUGUGAGAUUCCAUGUAAAGCUGAAUUAAGGCGAGAGACCGAUAGCGAUCAAGUACCGGUGAGGCGAGAGGAAAAACACUUUGGAAAGACAGUUAUACAGUCAGUGAAAUUCCUGAAAGGGAAGAGUGAGAAGUCAGUCGCGUCGUCCGGAGGGAAGCCUUGCUUUUCCGUGGUGCACUUUCCGGUUCGCUGGUCAGCAUCGAUCUUGACCGUCGGCAAAGGCAUCAAGUAAUGUGGCGCCAUCGCAUGGGUUAUAGGCUCUGGUCUCAUCUGCCGGGGGGGAUCGAGGCCUCCAGCGCCCCGUAAGCCAGCGGUUCGCCCACUUUCGCGCUUAGGAUGCUGGCAUAAUGAUUUUAAACCGCCCGUCUUGAAACACGGACCAAGGAGUCUAACAUCCAUGCGAGUGUUUGGGUGGAAAACCCGAGCGCGUAAUGAAAGUGAAAGUAGGGGCGCCUCCCGUAGGGGGCAUCAUCGACCGAUCCUGAUGUUUUCGGAUGGAUUCGAGUAAGAGCAUAUCUGUUGGGACCCGAAAGAUGGUGAACUAUGCCUGAAUAGGGUGAAGCCAGAGGAAACUCUGGUGGAGGCUCGUAGCGAUUCUGACGUGCAAAUCGAUCGUCAAAUUUGGGUAUAGGGGCGAAAGACUAAUCGAACCAUCCAGCGAGCUC